GCUUCUCGGCCUUUGGGCUGAGAUCAGGUGUAGUAUCUGUUCUUAUCAGUUUAAAAUC
Molecule: small nuclear RNA, 58 nt
Filed under: Cervus elaphus hippelaphus
Lineage: Eukaryota; Metazoa; Chordata; Mammalia; Artiodactyla; Cervidae
Rfam family: U2 spliceosomal RNA
About the family: U2 is a small nuclear RNA (snRNA) component of the spliceosome (involved in pre-mRNA splicing). Complementary binding between U2 snRNA (in an area lying towards the 5' end but 3' to hairpin I) and the branchpoint sequence (BPS) of the intron results the bulging out of an unpaired adenosine, on the BPS, which initiates a nucleophilic attack at the intronic 5' splice site, thus starting the first of two transesterification reactions that mediate splicing.
Source: RNAcentral